Molecule: long non-coding RNA, 301 nt
Filed under: Elaeis guineensis (African oil palm)
Lineage: Eukaryota; Viridiplantae; Streptophyta; Magnoliopsida; Arecales; Arecaceae
Description: long non-coding RNA (EGUI_LNC036002)
Source: RNAcentral
CCUAAUUCUAAUCCAGAUCGUUGGUUGUGGAAAUGGUCACCUCGAGAAAGGCUGCAGAAGCAACCAUCCUUGCCAAGAACUGGCUGCUGCAUUCUGAUAAUGAUAAUCUCUGUCAUUUGCUGAAAAACUUUCCUAGUCCUUUGUGAGGUGCAAAUGAAUGAAGAAUUAUUACUCAAAGUUAUUUUGCUAAAGUUUGGGCGACAAAGUUUUCAGACUCCGCUUCAGACUUCUAAAUGAAAGAAGUCUUUAGUUUCCAAUAACAGCCUUUUUAAUCUAUUGUGAAAAAGCUCAUGAAGCUUCU